GGUUAGUCUACUGCUUGUUAUAGAUCUUACAUUUCAAUAUUUUCCCCAUAAAUUUAAUAGAGAAUAAUAGUGAAAAUAGUAGAAAUAUGUUCCCAUGAGGCAAAAGUGAGAAAUUUAACAGAAAUUAUUUCUUUGUUUUAAAGGGAGACAGUAAAUGGAAAAUGAAAACUGAUGAAGUUCAUGUAUAUUUCGUGCUUGUUCAAUACCCUAAAUAUAGCACUUCGAGUCAUUUAACACACAUACAGUUAAUUGUAGUAAUGUGGUCAUAUUAAAUAAGAUCAUGCUAUAUUGUGUCAAGAGAAAGUGGUCAUAUUAAAAAGGGGCUCUUUUAAUGAACCUCUAAACAAUUUCUUUGGCUGUAUCACAGCCUAGGUUGAUAAUAAAAAUUGCCUUUGAACAGAGUACUCUAAAUUUUUACAAGACUCCAAUUCUCCUGUAAAUUAUAGAAUUUGAAAUGUAAUUCUCCCUGGAACCAUAAAAGAAUUAGAACAGAGAAACGCUGUUAAGAAUAAAGCAAGAUAAAAAGUAAAAAAAAAAAAAAAAGGUAGACAGUUUCUUUGAGGAAACAGGCAUGCCUAUUGAGAUACCUGGUUCAAUCUGAUGUCACAUUGUUUAGUGUAUUUUUUGCUCAUGAAUUUAGUACAGCAUUGUGUGCUACUUAAACUCCAUGGCAACAUACCGGAAUCUUCUCCCACAACAAACAGACCUCACAUAGUUACCUUCUUUGCCUGAAGUUUGUAUAAAUUGAAGUAGCCUUUUUAAUUAGUAUUUUAUCCCAAGUUUCUUUACAUUCUAACAGAGCAUAUUAUAGCCUUAGUGGUUCAAAAAUAUUGAGAUGAGUCUCCUCGGCAGGUAGUUUUAGGAAUAACUAGGAGGUUGGUGUGAUGAAUUAAAAGUUAUAGCUGAGGAUGGGAGUAUUUUAUACUAACAGAGCAAAAACAGUGUACUUUUAUUAUUUUUUUUCCUAUUUUAGUCUCCAAUUUAAAAUUGUGUUCACUUGGUGAUUACUCUUGUGUGUGCCUUGGACACCCUAAAAAUCAUGCCUGUUUUAAUUAUAUCUUACAGAAUUUGAGAACCCCCUUUUAUUUUUCUCAUGUUCGACUAAGUUCUUAUAUAAUUGAACUCAAGGACUAUUAAUUAUUCAAUGUAUUCUUUAUACUAUUUGCCAUGUUCCUGAUUACUCAGUGACUUUACUUUUUAUGUUUUGCUUAAAUUUUAGAUAAUUGUGUUAAUGAAAAAUGCAUCCAAAGCCAUGGGAUUUUAUUUAGGAAAAAAUAAAACAAUUAGGAAAGUAUAAACAUUUUCAACAGUAAAUGAAUGAAUCAUGACUGCCUCAAAUUAUCAGGAUAUUUGUCAAGACUGUCAAAGUAACAAGAUGUGUUCAGUGUGACAAGACAUGAAGCUGAAGUUGAGAUUAUGAAGACAAGACGUUUGGGGGCAGCUGUGCAGUCAGAUUCCCUGAGAAAGGGUGGGCGGUGCCAGUCCUUGCUGCAGAAGGCACGGUCUGCGCAACUCUUGUUUGCCAUUCUUCUGUCCUGUCGGUUCCCUUCCGAGCCUACCAGCUGCUGGCACUCGAAGGAGCAAAAUACACCCAAACCCAUGACUCAGAAGAAGGCAAUUGUUGGAAGGAGGAGUUUGAGAACUUUCUGAUGUCAAGUAAGCUCUUCCAGUGUCCAUCAUGUUUUCUGACAAAUAGUGCUGUCCUAAUUUGCAACACUGGCUUUAAAAAGUCAUAGUAAUAUUCCGAAUGCAGAAGACAGACAAUUAAAGGUCAUGGUAGUUAAUAAUCGAAGGCAUUGGUCUGGAGCUUAGAAGAAGCCAUAGACACUGUUCAAGUAUGUUAUUACUACCUAGGAAUUGCUAGGCCUAGGAAUUAUAAGUUCAGAUGCUAGCAUUAGACUUCCAUGAGCUUGGUGCUACAGCAAGAGAACUCCUCAGAGUUCUAAUGAACAGAGUUGCCCUGUUUCUAAUAAUAUUUUUCUUUAUUCAUUGAAAAUUGCAUGUAUUUACAUAUUCUAUUUUGACAUAUCCAUCUACCAGUAUCUCCCCUGAUUGUCCUCUACUCCAUUUCCCUCCCAGUGUUCCAUCUUCUUUUAUUAUUAACAUUAAUAGCCCCUGAAAACACUUAAUGCUGACACCAUAUGCAGUGAAUGAGAAUGAGGCCAUCUACGGGGACAUGGCCAAUCUACCUGCUGGUGUCCAUAUCCCUAAAGGAGGGUGACACUCCCUCAACAGUUACCAACUGACAACAGCUCCUACAGCUAUAGGUGGGGGUCAGGAGUAUCCCACAUUAAUUUAACAAUUUUGACCUGUUGCUUUUAUACAGCUUCAUGGUAACCAUAGUGCUGUGAGUUAGCAUACACAACACUCAUGCUAUGCCUAGAAGGCAGCAUUUCCCAAUACUCCUCCUAGUCCUCCAGUUCUUACGUUAUUUCUGCCUCCAUUUAAUGAUGGUCCCUAAACUUUGAGUGGGAGGGGUUCAUAUAGACGAUUCCUUCACAGUUAGGACUCACAUCUACUCAUAUUCAUGUGAUAUAUUUCAGUCAUAUCCUUCUAUCAUCACCUCCUUCCGCUGCCUUGCAUUGUAUCUCGCUCCACAUCUUUCCCAAUGUUAUGUCCUCUUCUCCUUUCUUGUUAUUAAUAACCCCUGAACUCAAUGCUGCUAAUACGGGCAGUAAGCAGGUAGGCAACAUAGUUAUGAGUCUUUGCAUGAACCACUACUAACUCCACAAAAGAGGUUUGUCUGGCAGGUCUAUAGAUAUAAAUGUGAAUAUUUACUUAGGAGGUCGUUUGACAGAAUUAUCAAUUAUC
RNAcentral lists this long non-coding RNA (2811 nucleotides) under Mus musculus (house mouse). RNAcentral describes it as "long non-coding RNA chr5:20077633-20080444". Lineage: Eukaryota; Metazoa; Chordata; Mammalia; Rodentia; Muridae. The record is from RNAcentral.